RNAcentral lists this ribosomal RNA (400 nucleotides) under uncultured bacterium. RNAcentral describes it as "bacterial SSU rRNA". It matches the Rfam family "Bacterial small subunit ribosomal RNA", at positions 29 to 417 of the family's 1533-position model. The record is from RNAcentral.
AACGAACGUUAGCGGCGCGCUUAACACAUGCAAGUCGAGCGAGAAAGGGGCAACCCCGGUAAAGCGGCGCACGGGUGAGUAACACGUAGGUAAUUUGCCCCCAGGUGGUGGAUAACCUUCCGAAAGGAGGGCUAAUACAGCAUAAGACCACGAUCUCGAAAGAGAUUGAGGUCAAAGCCGGCCUCUUCAUGAAAGCUGGCGCCAGGGGAGAAGCCUGCGGCCCAUCAGCUAGUUGGAGGGUAAUGGCCUACCAAGGCGAAGACGGGUAGCUGGUCUGAGAGGAUGAUCAGCCACACUGGAACUGAGACACGGUCCAGACUCCUACGGGAGGCAGCAGUGGGGAAUCUUGCGCAAUGGGCGAAAGCCUGACGCAGCGACGCCGCGUGAGUGAUGAAGGCCU